AACACUGUUAACCUGCGGUACCUGCGGAGGGAUCAUUACACAAAUGAAAAUAUGAAGGCCCUUCAAACCGGCUGGAUUAUUUUUCUUCACCCUUGUCUUUUGCGCACUUGUUGUUUCCUGGGCGGGUUCGCUCGCCACCAGGACCACACCAUAAACCUUUUUGUUAAUGCAAUCAGCGUCAGUAAAAAGUAAUAAUUAUUUUACAACUUUCAACAACGGAUCUCAGAUCGGAAGAGCACA
This 240-nucleotide unclassified non-coding RNA is filed under the name soil metagenome. RNAcentral describes it as "partial contains 5.8S ribosomal RNA, internal transcribed spacer 2, and large subunit ribosomal RNA". The record is from RNAcentral.